Acanthosepion pharaonis is the source of this 100-nucleotide non-coding RNA. The record is from the annotation of a GenBank genome assembly. NCBI's taxonomy places the organism in Eukaryota, Metazoa, Mollusca, Cephalopoda, Sepiida, Sepiidae.
AUUGAAACGCUUGUUCUCAUCCGAUCACCGAAUGUUAAGCAACGUCGAGUCUGGUCAGUACCUAGAUGGGUGACCGCUUGCGAAUACCAGGUGGUGUAAG